Non-coding RNA from Orbilia ellipsospora, 104 nucleotides. The record is from the annotation of a GenBank genome assembly. Lineage: Eukaryota; Fungi; Ascomycota; Orbiliomycetes; Orbiliales; Orbiliaceae.
GCUGCUAUGUCCGAGUGGUUAAGGAGUGAGACUUGAACGGCUAUCAUUGGCCUACUAGAUAUCUUAUGGCUUCGGCCGCAGAGGUUCGAACCCUCUUGGCAGCG